GGCUAGUCUGAAGGUAAUGAGUUAUGUCAAUUGAUUGUUCAUAGUCAAACUCUUUUUCUACUCUUUCUCCUCUUCUCACUACUGCACUUGACUAGUCUUAA
Nomascus leucogenys (northern white-cheeked gibbon) is the source of this 101-nucleotide unclassified non-coding RNA. It matches the Rfam family "Y RNA". From Rfam's summary of the family: Y RNAs are components of the Ro ribonucleoprotein particle (Ro RNP), in association with Ro60 and La proteins. The record is from Ensembl. NCBI's taxonomy places the organism in Eukaryota, Metazoa, Chordata, Mammalia, Primates, Hylobatidae.